RNAcentral lists this small RNA (27 nucleotides) under Bombyx mori (domestic silkworm). RNAcentral describes it as "piRNA piR-bmo-1326190". Lineage: Eukaryota; Metazoa; Arthropoda; Insecta; Lepidoptera; Bombycidae. The record is from RNAcentral.
GAAAAUAUGAAUAGGAUAUGUGUGACC